UGCCCAAAGUCGGUGAGUUAACUUCGGAGACCAUUGCCUAAGGCGGACCGAUGACUGGGGUGAAGUCGUAACAAGGUAUCCCUACGAGAACGUGGGGAUGGAACACCUCCUUUCUA
RNAcentral lists this ribosomal RNA (116 nucleotides) under Mesomycoplasma hyopneumoniae. RNAcentral describes it as "Mycoplasma hyopneumoniae partial 16S ribosomal RNA". It matches the Rfam family "Bacterial small subunit ribosomal RNA", at positions 1418 to 1533 of the family's 1533-position model. The record is from RNAcentral. Lineage: Bacteria; Bacillati; Mycoplasmatota; Mycoplasmoidales; Metamycoplasmataceae.